GUGGGGAAUCUUGCGCAAUGGGCGAAAGCCUGACGCAGCCAUGCCGCGUGAAUGAUGAAGGUCUUAGGAUUGUAAAAUUCUUUCACCGGGGACGAUAAUGACGGUACCCGGAGAAGAAGCUCCGGCUAACUUCGUGCCAGCAGCCGCGGUAAUACGAAGGGGGCUAGCGUUGCUCGGAAUUACUGGGCGUAAAGGGCGCGUAGGCGGACAGCUUAGUCAGAGGUGAAAGCCCAGGGCUCAACCUUGGAAUUGCCUUUGAUACUGGCUGUCUUGAGUUUGGGAGAGGUGAGUGGAACUCCGAGUGUAGAGGUGAAAUUCGUAGAUAUUCGGAAGAACACCAGUGGCGAAGGCGACUCACUGGCUCGAUACUGACGCUGAGGUGCGAAAGCGUGGGGAGCAAACAGGAUUAGAAACCCGUGUAGUCC
RNAcentral lists this ribosomal RNA (425 nucleotides) under uncultured bacterium. RNAcentral's name for it is "partial 16S ribosomal RNA". It matches the Rfam family "Bacterial small subunit ribosomal RNA", at positions 354 to 796 of the family's 1533-position model. The record is from RNAcentral.